Phyllopteryx taeniolatus (common seadragon) is the source of this 89-nucleotide small nucleolar RNA. RefSeq annotates it as small nucleolar RNA SNORD60. NCBI's taxonomy places the organism in Eukaryota, Metazoa, Chordata, Actinopteri, Syngnathiformes, Syngnathidae. The transcript has a single exon. The record is from RefSeq and is a predicted model, not a curated record.
AGCCGGUGAUGACAAAUCAAAUAACUUUUCUGACACCUACUAUGACAGCUGAACUGCAGCUUGUGAUUAUACUUUACACCCUGAGGCUU